UACCAGCAAUACCAGGAUACCAGCUGUCCUAAUCACUUGCUCUCUGGGUACACCCCAGAGCUCCACUGCUGGUCCCCUGGGGGCUUGUGGCAUUUUUCUAGGCUGCAAGCCUUCCCUACUUCUCAGAGCAAGCCCUCAACAAUGCAUCUGCAGAUCCAUCUUCUUGGGAACAGCAACAAAAAACUUCUGCAAAGUGAAAGAGCCUAAGAAUGUCACAGUGAGAGGGGGCAGCUCAGAGCUCUAGUCCAUGUCCCUCAAGUGAAGAGGAAACCAAAACCCAAAGCCACGAAGUGACCAGCCUGAGGGUAACACCUGGAUGAUAAUUCACAUUAGUGGGUGGAGGCAGAAGACAGGCAAGGCAUCAAGGCCUCUGUGUUCCAAGAACUAGAGCCAGUGUUGGAGCAUACAUCCUCAGUUGGCCUACUUGUGGAAUGGAGCGCAGGAAGUUCAGCCAACACAGGCCACACGCUGCUGCUGGGGAGGAAACUCUUGCCAGCUACUCCCAUGGAAACAAGAAGCCCUGUUGAGACCACUCUGGAGCCCCAGCCAAGUCAAAAACAAUGCUCCUGUCCUGGCCUCAUCUUGCCUAACGUCCUUCCCUCCCAGCUGGCUGCUUGGGCACAUCACCUCUCAACUAACUGUUUACCCAACUCUACUUCAAACAGAAAAUGCCUAUUCCUGUUGGUCUAAUAAAAUUUCAUCUGCUUUUUCCAAGCCCCAAGGCAGAAGCAAUUUUGGUAAAAUGUGCCCAAUAGCACUAAUC
Molecule: long non-coding RNA, 763 nt
Filed under: Vulpes vulpes (red fox)
Lineage: Eukaryota; Metazoa; Chordata; Mammalia; Carnivora; Canidae
Description: lncRNA (ENSVVUG00000006626.1)
Source: RNAcentral